Molecule: ribosomal RNA, 1459 nt
Filed under: human gut metagenome
Description: bacterial LSU rRNA
Rfam family: Bacterial large subunit ribosomal RNA
Source: RNAcentral
GAGCUAAGGUGAGGCCGAAAGGCGUAGCCGAUGCACAGACGGUAGAGAUUCCGUCCCCACCGAAAGAUUUAAGCGCAGGGACACUUUUAGAAGGUCGGAGCCAGGUGUUGGUUCUGGUAGAGAUCGAGGGAAGAUUAGUACCGAAGUCCGGCUGGAUAAGAGGCGAGAAAAGCUGCGUGUAUAUCUAAGGUGCCCGUACCGCAAACCGACACAGGUAGGUAGGAAGAAGAUUCUAAGGCCAACGGGAGAAGGGUUGUUAAGGAACUCGGCAAGUUGACCCCGUAACUUCGGAAUAAGGGGUGCUCAUGAAAGUGAGCCGCAGAGAAUAGGCCCAGGCAACUGUUUACCAAAAACACAGGUUUGUGCUAAAUCGAAAGAUGACGUAUACGAGCUGACGCCUGCCCGGUGCUGGAAGGUUAAAAGGAGAUGUGCAAGCAUUGAAUUGAAGCCCCAGUGAACGGCGGCCGUAACUAUAACGGUCCUAAGGUAGCGAAAUUCCUUGUCAGGUAAGUUCUGACCCGCAUGAAAGGCGUAAUGAUUUGGGCACUGUCUCAACAGCCCGCCCGGCGAAAUUGUAGUACCGGUGAAGAUGCCGGUUACCCGCGACAAGACGGAAAGACCCCAUGGAGCUUUACUGUAGCCUAAUAUUGGGUUUCGGUGUUGCAUGCACAGGAUAGAUGGGACGCUAGGAAGUGAGUGCUUUGGCAUUCAUGGAGCGGCCGUUGGGAUACCAUCCUUGCGACAUUGGAAUUCUAACCUGCGCCUUUGAAUCAAGGCGGGGGACAUUGUUAGGUGGGCAGUUUGACUGGGGCGGUCGCCUCCUAAAGAGUAGCGGAGGCGUUCAAAGGUUGGCUCGUCCUGGACGGAAACCAGGAGAGAGAGUGCAAACGCAAAAGCCAGCCUGACUGCGAGACUGACGGGUCGAGCAGAGACGAAAGUCGGAGUUAGUGAUCCGGUGGUAUGUGAGUGGAAAUGCCAUCGCUCAACGGAUAAAAGUUACCCUGGGGAUAACAGGCUGAUCUCCCCCAAGAGUCCACAUCGACGGGGAGGUUUGGCACCUCGAUGUCGGCUCAUCGCAUCCUGGGGCUGUAUUCGGUCCCAAGGGUUUGGCUGUUCGCCAAUUAAAGCGGUACGCGAGCUGGGUUCAGAACGUCGUGAGACAGUUCGGUCCCUAUCUGUCGUGGGCGCAGGAUAUUUGAAAGGCGCUGUCCCUAGUACGAGAGGACCGGGAUGGACGAACCUCUGGUGCACCAGUUGUCACGCCAGUGGCACAGCUGGGCAGCUAUGUUCGGAUCGGAUAAACGCUGAAAGCAUCUAAGCGUGAAGCCGGCCUUAAGAUAAGAUAUCCCACUGAGACAAUCAGGUAAGACCCCUUGAAGACUACAAGGUUGAUAGGCACAAUGUGUAAGUGGCGUGAGUCAUUGAGCAAGCGUGUACUAAUAGGUCGAGGGCUUGACCC